This 203-nucleotide ribosomal RNA is filed under the name uncultured bacterium. RNAcentral describes it as "partial 16S ribosomal RNA". It matches the Rfam family "Bacterial small subunit ribosomal RNA", at positions 1297 to 1500 of the family's 1533-position model. The record is from RNAcentral.
AUUGUAGUCUGCAACUCGACUACAUGAAGCUGAAUCGCUAGUAAUCGCAGAUCAGAAUGCUGCGGUGAAUACGUUCCCGGGUCUUGUACACACCGCCCGUCACACCAUGGGAGUCGGAAAUGCCCGAAGCCGGUGACCCAACCAAAAGGAGGGAGCCGUCGAAGGCAGGUCUGAUAACUGGGGUGAAGUCGUAACAAGGUAUC